RNAcentral lists this ribosomal RNA (301 nucleotides) under uncultured bacterium. Its description in RNAcentral is "partial 16S ribosomal RNA". It matches the Rfam family "Bacterial small subunit ribosomal RNA", at positions 509 to 807 of the family's 1533-position model. The record is from RNAcentral.
CAGCAGCCACGGUAAUACGGAGGGUGCAAGCGUUAAUCGGAAUUACUGGGCGUAAAGCGCACGCAGGCGGUCUGACAAGUCAGAUGUGAAAUCCCCGGGCUUAACCUGGGAACUGCAUUUGAAACUGUCAGGCUGGAGUCUUGUAGAGGGGGGUAGAAUUCCAGGUGUAGCGGUGAAAUGCGUAGAGAUCUGGAGGAAUACCGGUGGCGAAGGCGGCCCCCUGGACAAAGACUGACGCUCAGGUGCGAAAGCGUGGGGAGCAAACAGGAUUAGAUACCCGUGUAGUCCCUGUCUCUUAUAC